Molecule: long non-coding RNA, 1319 nt
Filed under: Ananas comosus (pineapple)
Lineage: Eukaryota; Viridiplantae; Streptophyta; Magnoliopsida; Poales; Bromeliaceae
Description: long non-coding RNA (ACOM_LNC030576)
Source: RNAcentral
UACCGGUACAAGCCCUGCGUAACCGAGAGAAUGAGCUCUCGGGUUUGAGCUGUCUGCCAGGCCUUGUACCGGUACAAGACCCCGUGUACCGGUACAAGGAGCCCGAAAACAGCAGGUCAAGUUGGAAGAACUUGAAAACUUGAGGGGCUAAGUGGCAUAUUGUUACAACACAUGUGAGAGGGUAUUAGAGAGUGUUUUUAUCUCUCUCUCUCUCACUCUCCCACAGCCCCCUCCCUCUCCCUCUGUUCGUGCCCAACCGAAGGGAGAAGAAAAAGGAAAGAAAGGAAAAGAGAAAAGGAAAAGAAGAAGAAAAAGAGAAAGCAAAGGAAAAGAAGAGAAAGAUCUUCAUCUCCAUCCUCAUCUUCAUCUUCUUCUCAUUUUGAAGCUUUUGAAGAGGUAAGCACCUUGCUCCUCUCAUGGUGGAUUUUGGUAGGAUGGGUUUUAAACCCUAAAGCUUAGAGAUUUAGAGCUCCUAAGGUAUUUAGAACCUUGUAGAGGCUUAGAACACCAUGAAAUCCAUGGUUUUCUCAUGAAGCUCUAAUGGUGGAUUUUUAGGGUUUGCUCUAAAUGCCCUAGAAAUGGUUCAUAUGCUCCUAGAUGAACUCCUAGAUGAUAAACAAGCUUUCCUUUGCUUGUUUUAUAGAUCAAAACCGGCGUAUUGGGCAUAUGGCACAUUAGGGCAUCCCAAAGAGGGAUUUUGCUAAUGAGGGGUUUUGAUCUAUUUUGACCACUCGUAAACCUAAUUGUUAGGUCAAGAAACGCGUGGGCGAAGACGGUUUGAGUAUUCGUCGAGCCGUUUUAAAGUUAUUAAAGAAAUAAGCCUUGAGGCUUCAUUCUUGCCUGUAGGGCCGAGACGGCGUCGUAAGGUCGUGGGAAUGGACGUGUGGCAUCGUGGCGCAUAACCGAAGACCUAUAAUUUUCGGAUUUGCAAAGCGGAACACGGUUGAGGCGCAAGUGCUAGUCGGGCCCAAGCGGGUGCCGAGUGCCGCGGGAGGCCGAUUGCAAGUGUCGACAAGCAAUCGGAACGCAUUAAAGGUGGGUUGUGUUUACCGAAGCGACUAGGUCGCCCUUAUGUCUAAAUGAUGUUAACAAUCUUCAUUGAUGCAUACAAGUGUAAAUGACGGCAUAUGUAAAAAUGCUAAGUAAUGCAUGACACUAGUGAUAAGAUGUAUAUGCAUGUAAAAGACUAGGUAUGCACGUGUACUAGAUGAAUGCAAGUGAACAGAGCAUGAUGAAUGCAUUGAUUAAUGCUAGAGUAUACACAAUAAGCAUGAUGUAGAAAUAAUAAAUGCAAGCAUGUGGUUAAUGCUAAGAGUAAA